GCAGGCUGAAGAAGCAGAGAGAGAGAGGAGAGGACCCUGCCAUUCAUCUUCCCAUCUCCACUGCCUUCGGUUGCCCACUCUGUCCUUCAACUACAUUUGGAAAUGCAAUUUGAGGCUGAGAGGACCCUGGGAGGGCUAUGAAGCACAAAUUAAAACCAAGACAGUUGUGCCACCACCCCGUUUCUAGCCUCCUGUGACAACUCAGAUGAAGAAGGGAGUGUGUGUGGCAUUGAGGGAGGGACAACUCUCAUUGUGAGAAAAGGAAGCAGUUUUGGCCCUUUAGUCAAAGGUCACUGGGAUUUGGGUGGGGGUGGAGUGGGGUGGAUCUGAGUGGAAGAAAGAGCAAAAAGGGAGUGAGGAGGUCCUCAUGGGUAGCAUUUGCUCUCUUCCCGGAUGGAUGGCAGGCCCUGGGGAUUCCCCUUGGAGCGUCCCCUGGAUCCCGUCGGUCUAUAAGCCACAUGAUGAAGAUGAGACUGAUCCUAAGCCCUGGAAGUUAUCAGCCCAGGUAUUCCCUGCCUCUCACCUCUUGGACCCAGCACAUUUGGGAAACUGAGAUCCCAUGCCCUGGAAUGAAAGAAACGGAUCUAUAAUCAUGUUUCCGGACCGAGAAGCCAUGUGCCUCAUUCUGUCCUAUCCAACAUUGCCAUCAGUGGUUUGGAGGAAGACACAGUCAGGAAACAGUCAAGGGAUAGUGGGUGCAGUGAUCAUCUGCUGGAUCCCGGGCUGCCUCGCCCUCUCCACUAUGCUUCUCCUGCAGGUCUCCCAAGAGUUCUCAUUGGUCUCUGGGAGACUUUACCACCAGCCUAGUCUCUGGUACUCACUGCACACAGCUCCCCUUGGCUUUUAUUAUACUAUCAAGGUUUGGAUGAUCCCAGAUCCAUUUCCUCUUGGUUCAUCUUAGACUGUUUAGACUGGGAAAGAAAAAAAGAGCUUGUAUGCUGGGCAAACUAAUUUGUGACUGUGUGUGUGUUUACACACACAUAGGUAUUCUGAAAAGUAUUUUUUGUGUAUAUUUAAAUAUAAUAAAGAUAUUUUAGGUUGGG
Homo sapiens (human) is the source of this 1043-nucleotide long non-coding RNA. RefSeq lists it as uncharacterized. The transcript has 2 exons. The record is from RefSeq and is a predicted model, not a curated record. Lineage: Eukaryota; Metazoa; Chordata; Mammalia; Primates; Hominidae.